Molecule: long non-coding RNA, 8494 nt
Organism: Acinonyx jubatus (cheetah)
Lineage: Eukaryota; Metazoa; Chordata; Mammalia; Carnivora; Felidae
Exons: 6
Source: RefSeq, a predicted model, not a curated record
AAUAAACCCACAGUGAAGCCUCAGAAGGAGGGCUGGCCUUUCAUUUUCCACUGGGAUCCCGGGGCUGGGGUGUGGGGCGCUCCCUCAGACGUGGUUGUCAAAGAUGAGCCUCAUGAAAUCACCUUGACCCGGUGACACUGACAUACGGUGUUCACUGGUGUGGGGGAAGGGCUACAACAAGAGGGCUCAACUGUGGUAAGACUCAGCCCCAGGGAAGGCAGCAUCCAAUGGUAAUUUUAGCGACUGCACGCUGGCUAGCCAUGAAGGCAGGCUGGGGAGCUGGGCAACACGGGGCCUGCACUUUGCAGAACCACCAGGGACCUGGCUGGGGCACCACCUGCAGUCACUCUAAACGGGGCACUCACAUGCUCCAUCAGUUGUCUCACGGUGCAGUUUGCCACGGGGGUGGGGUCCCGUAUGUAGCACGUGGUUUCCAGCGUGUCUAUUUCGAGCUCAAACACCUCCCCAAUUGGCCGCUGUGGAGACACAGAAUGAAGCAGUGAGCGGCCUGAUCCCGUUGCGCGGGCGAGAACGUGAGCACCCAGCGGGCUGGAAGUAACGCCUGUUGGAGAGGCGAGGGACAGGUCAUUGCUACUGUUAGUCUGCACCUCCACCGAGCUCUGACCUGGCCUGUGGGCAGGACAGGGACCAGGGCUUCUCAGGUCUACUUCUGUCGGCUGUGCGAGCUCAGACGGUGUUUGCAAGGAAGAAGCGACCGUGGCCUUGGACGGGUUGAUGGAACCACAGUCAUCACCCUGAGCUCUACUUGGAAGCUAACGUGAGCACUGAUACUUCGCUUUGAAAAUUUCACGCUUCGAUCGGCGCUUUGAAAAAAAUCAGCUUUCAUUUUUUCUCAAUCAAGUGGCAAAGAAAAAUUGUCCUUGGCGGUUUGUCAUUGGGUUUGCCUAGUUGCUGCCCUCUACUGCCCCCUGCUGGAGACGAAGGGGAAGCGCGAGCCUCCCUCUGAGACUGCGGAAGCUGUGAGUUGCUGGUACCGUCUAGAAGGAAUAGCAAGGAAGGCAGAUAGGGGAGCCCUGAAACUCCUUGUGCCCAGCUCUGAUUGCCUCUCAUUUAGUUCUGCCUGACUCGCUACUACCCGAAACCUAGGGAUCUCUUUGCCAAGGAGAAGCUGUGUUUUAUGAUGUGCAGAUGUGCCCAAAUUAAACGUCCUGAAGACACUCACAGCUGCAGAAAUAGAAGCAGGUACUCCUGGGUUUCUCUAGGAAAGCACCUGUCAAGCUCUGCCUUUAGUGAAGAUUGCAACCUCCCUUCCUUACUUUUCCCUCAAAUGCUUAUGUUGUGUGUUAUUUCCCCUGACCUCGUGGGUGUUUCCUCUGAACCACCACUGGGCGUCAGUACAGUUGCAGCCCUCCUAAAAUCCAUCCUGAUGUCUAAUAUUUGUCCCACCGUGAGAUAGAGGUUAGUACCGACAUCCAGAUACUUACCUUAUUCCCUCCUUUGGGUUGUAAAUAUCUUGUAGGUUGUAAAUACCUUGUAAAUAUCUUGGGUUGUAAAUAUCUUGUACCUUAUUCCCUCCUUUGGGUUGUAAAUAUCUUGUACAUAUCUUCGAGUUUGAGCUCCAAAGAAAAACUUUCUCACUUUUAUGUUAGGUUGAACCAUUAAAAUGCCAAUAUUUGACUGGUUUUAAUAUACAAAAGUAGAAAUUUCUUAUGGUUCAGCUUAAUAUCUCUCAUGGCACGUGACACUGGUUCCUGCCCGUGAAAGGCUUGUAUUCAAUUGUUUGCUGCAAGAAUCACCCUUCAUCAGAUAUAAAAUCUAAUUCAAAAUAGGCAGUAGACAUAUACCUUUUCCCCAUUGCCCCAAAUCUCUCGACUGUUCCACAAGCCAUAUUUUCCAGCUUAAUCUUUAUUGUCACUGGCUUCAGACUGCAUCGAUUACUUGUCUAGCUUGUGAAGAGGUAAACGCCAUUCAUGCCAAGAUUUCUUUCUGAGAGGUGGGCACCUCUCUUUGGGAGGUAACUCGUGUAGAGGAAGGAACAUGGGUUCAGAAUCAAAUCCCAGCCCAAUGUUUACAAGUUAUAUGAUCCUGAACAACAACAAAAUGCCCUAAUGUCAGAGGCUCGGGCUUCUCUCAUGUAAGACAAGGACAAUACCUACCACACAGGACUGGGGGCUGGGAGGGAGUAAGGAGAUCGUGUGUGGGAAGGGGCCUGGCGCACAGUAGAUGGCUGUCAAAUGCUAGUUUCAUUCAUUCUCAGUCUUCAUCCAGAGAAAUGGAAGCAAAGAAAGAGAAGUGAUUUCCAAUCGGCCAGAAUCCUGCAUCUUGUGCAUAGAGUUUUCUAGCAAGCCGCACUUUCUACCUGUGCUGUUCAAAAUAUUCCUCGAAGCCCUUCUUGUCCCACACACCUCCUCACCCCCAUCCAGCACCCUCUGAGACCCAUGACCACAGCUCAGAAUGUCUCACUCCCCCACUUGCCCCCUCCCUCACUCCUGAGAAGAAAUCAGAGAGUUUGACCCUCUGCAGUUUAAUUGUGUUGGGAGAUGUGAUCUUUGAGACACCCAGCUGAGCUCCACACAUGGGUUCUUUCGGCUCAGACACAGAAGGCUCACUUACCCGAGGCCACACCUUCACUUUGUCAAUCUGGUUCAAGGUGUGCUUGUAGCCCUGAAGAACGUGGUUAUUUAUGUAGUCCACGGCCACCAGGGCUGCUUGCUCUGUUUCUGGGUCAUCACAGUCCAGUUCCCUAUAAACCAGACCUGGUAUAUGCGGGGCGGCAUGGCAGCCCCAGAGCUGAGCAAGGCAAAGGAGCAGGGCGAGGGACUUCAUGGCUGCUCCAGAGGGACCCUAGCAGGUGGGCAGAUGGCUGGAAGCCUCAGGACCAACCCAGGGGCUCUUCUCUGAAAAGUAGACCAAUGGAGGUCCAAAGGCUUUAUUUAUCUGUCAGAACCUGCCGGGGGAAUUGCAUAAGGACGUGGGAUGAUUUCUGUUCUGGUUCCAAGUAAACCCUUGCAAACAUCAGCCCCGGAAAAGCAAACAGGUUAGGACAUCUCUGGUCCCCAAGAAAUCUGCCAAAGUCAAUGCUGCUGGGGGCAGGUGGAAGGGGGUGGGGAGAUGCUCCGGAGUCAGCUUGGAACACAGAGGGGAGGAGGUGUGCACCAAGGCAAGGUGAGGGGGGGCCGGCACAGCCAGCCCUGGAGUACUGUGGGUUCAGCAGAGGAAGUGCCCUCUACUGAGAUCUGAGCACGGCAUGGGGCCCGUGAGGGGAAAGUAGGGCCCGGCAGCAAAGUGAUAAAGUCGUCUAAUAUGAAAGAGACUUAUCUCCUCCUGGAGGGAGAACGAGGCCCACAGAUGUAGCAAAGAUACAGGUGAUCCAGAGUGAGCAGGGAGAGCUUUGGGAGAUGCUGAGAACUUGGGUGCCUGGAUGUAGAGUGAUGAGAAGACACCAUCUGCCGUAAAGCAGCUCACCUUGACUCACGUGGCCCAGCAACGUCUCAUCAGCUAAGAACUCUAGAUUAUUAUACAAAAUCAUCAUAAUGUUUGUCUUGUGACGACAGAUUGGAAUUUAUUUCUCCAAUCCAAAACAUUGGUCAAUGGAAUACAAACUACCCUUGUUCCAAGGACCAAUCGGGUUUUCUGUGAAGGCUCAGAGAGGUUCUGCCACUUGACCACAUCACACAGCGAUGGAGCCUAGAUUUAGCCCAAUCAUUUUUUUCUCUAUUAACCCCAAACCAAGAGACCAGAGGGCCCAAAGAAAGCUGAGAAGGUUGACUGCUGUGCAUUGCCUUUAAGAGCAUGAGAGUCAAUGCAGAAAAUCACAUCCAUCUGUCCUGCUGGUCUCUGUCAUCAACUUUUGAUGUCUUCAAAACAAGGUGAGUGGCACUUUCAGACAAGAAGGAAGAUUGUCCUCAGAUGGUCACAUUGGGUCUGGCUGUACAGCAUUAUGUUGGUUAUUAUAAACACACAAGAAAAGUGUAAGCUGUGGUUCCUGCCCUCAGCUGACGUUAAAUCCACAGGAACACAAUGCCCCAAAUUGGAAAGGGUCUCAUGGGACAACAGUGUCUAUGUUAUUUUUAAUCUUGUGUCCCUAGGACCUGCCUCCUGCCUGGCGCAGAUUGGGCCCCUAUUCACGAUUGCUGUCUGAGAGGCAUUAGGGCAACUUCCCACUCAGCUCAGAGGCCCCCCUCCAGUGUGUGUGGUGUUUACUUGAAGACAUUUACAUACAGGAAUCUCUCCACCAUGCUGGCAGUGCAUUCUAUUGCUAAAUCACUCUUUCCUUCAUAUCAAGUCAAGACCUGCCUACCUUGUAACCUCACAAAUGGACCCAGAUUCUCCCCCUCAAGAUCUACAUAGCCUAAGUCAAUUCUCUGGUCUAUAUGUUGGGCUGUAGGUAUUUAGGGACAUCCAUGUUGUAGCAUGCUACCCUUCUCUGACCUCUGUUAUCUCUUUCUUCAGGUACUUCUCAGGUGUCUUAGUUUUGAGACCACUUCAUCAUCUUAUUGAAUAGGCAAGUCUGGCACCAGUGGUUAGAAAUAGGAUGAAUCAUCUUGUCACUGGGGGGUCACAGCGAUCUGAGUGGAGGCAAACUUGUAUAUGCACAGGUGAAGGGCAAUUCAGGAAUUAGUAGAUAGUGACAUAGGCCACUUGCCACUCAUAGGACGGGAGGAUUUCUCCUGGUUUCCAAAGACUUACCUGGACUCUCAAAAGGAGUUACAAUGAGACUAAAAAACAGAGAGAACAUUCUUCUCCAUAGAUUGCCUUGAUUAGACUUCUUAAAAGUGGAGAGGGAAAAUGUAUGAGGCUAGUUAGUGGAAGACCAGUAAGAGGGGACCAAGUCUCCAUUCGUCUUGAAUCUAACAAGGCUCUCAGCUGGUAGCAUGUCUUCACUACUUGUUACGUGAUCUCUAGAAAACAUGUAGGGAUGUGGAACGUCGUUGCUUCUGGCGUUCUUGUUAGAACAUUAGAAGGCGACAGCUUGAAAUAGAGAGGGUGCCAAUCACAGGGCCAGGGCAGGUAAUGUGGGCACUUUUCUCUUUCCAUGCUGGGAUUGUGCAACAGGCAGCCACAUCAUUCAGCACAUUAAGCAACAAUUGAGCCUCCAGGACUCAGAUUGUAAUGGAGACUGAGGCAGCGUCAGGAUGCAUAUUAGCAGGAAGGUAAGGGUAAGUAAGAUGGAGAGGGAUGGGAUGGGUAGGGAGGAAGGAAUGGGAGCAGCUUGGCAUGAGUAGGAGCCCCGCACUCGGAGUCAGAACUGACCCCUGGACUAUUUAUUAGCUAUGUGAGCUAACUAGAGAUUUCAUCUUGCUAUGCCUUAGUUUCUUCAUCUGUGAAAUAUGGGCAAUAAAACCUGGCUAGUAGAUAUGUGCUAAGGAUUUAGUGAGAACAUUUGCAAAUUCUCCACCUCGGGUGGUACACGGUGAACUAUCAAUAAAUAGGGGUUCUUUUUAAAAUUUAAAAAAAAUUGUAUACUUUUUUUGUUUUGGAGAGAGGGAGAGUGCACUUGAGCAGGGGAGAGGGCAGAGAGAGAGAGAGAGAGAGAGAGAGAGAAUCUUAAGCAGGUUCCACGCUCAGGACAGAGCCAGAUGCAGGGCUUGAUCCCACGACCCUGGAAUCAUAAGCUGAGCUGAAAUCAAGAGUCAGACCUCAACUGACUAAGCUGCCCAGGUGCCCCAUCAUAUAGAAAUUCUUAAUUGAGAAGUAUGGCUAUUGAAAUAAAAAUAAAAAUACUUAAAUAAGGGGCGUCUGGGUGGUUCAGUUGGUUGAGCAUCCAACUCUUGAUUUCAGCUCAGGUUAUGAUCCUACGGUUUGUGGGUUCAAGCCCUGCAUCAGGCUCUGCACUGUCAGUGCUUGGGAUUCUUUCUCUCCCUCUCUUUCUGCUCUCCCCACCCCCGCUCACACUCUCUUUCUCUCAAAAUAAAGAAACAUUAAAAAAAUACUUAAGUAAAAUAAUAGAUCAAAUAUAGACCAGGAAAAAAUUCAAUCUGGAAUCCCCUUAAGUGCCUCCUCUCUGUCUUUUAAAUGCAAAUUCUGUGUAGGGAUUUGCAUAGCAGGCAGAUGUUGGAGGCUGAAUUCUCACCAGGGUCUGCAUCUUGUCCUCUGCCCACUACCCCACGUGGCCAUGGGCCCCCCAUUUCAUUCCAUAGUGGUGGGUUGCCCCACCCAGAAGCCUAGAGUGGUCCAGCAGGUGUUGGCACCUAGAAAAUUACCUAUAGUCAUACCCUGGCAACACGGAUGAAGGACAACAUGCAAGGAAAAAUGUAAUUUUCCUUUGAACAUCUCACAGUCUCUUCCUCGAGCUUACUGUCCUAAAAUUUGCAUUUGAAACUUUAUUUCUGUUAAACAUGGAUCAUGAAUGACAAUGCCAAUAUACAUUCUGUUGUAUUGCAACUUGAUUUGCAUAAGUACUAAAGUUCGCUGCUUGGUCAACAGGCUUUAAUUUUUCAUAUGUGUAUGUAUGCAUGAUUUUGAUUUUUCUUUUCCAAUACAAAUGUCGCGUGGUUUCUAAAAGUUGGAAAAAACAUAAAAGUUGGAGCUUCCCCCCUUAAGUUAAAUGGGACAGAGCUACAUAGCUAGCUAGGAGGUUUUGUGUGGUCCCAGAGCCUUGACCUCCUCCUAGGCGGUGUUGCCGUGUGUCUGAAGACUGCUGGACAGACACCAGGACACCAUCUGCAAGAGGGGGUGGGGGGCCUUCGGGGGCAGAACCCACCUCCCUGGAAUAGAGCCAGGCCUGGAAGGCCUGCCUGGUACUAAAGCCUCCCCCGUGGUCAAAGGGAACAAUAAAAUAUUGUCUGUUACUUAGAUUUGUCUCCUGCCUUGCCCUGCUUUGAACUCAUUAUCUAAGCCCUAUUAUGAGAAAGAACUGAAGACAGGCUGUCCUCAGAAGACCUCAGGAAGUUCAAGCAUUUCUGUUUUGAUGCCUGUUGACAGCCUGUAACACAGAAGAGCAAAGAGAUCUUCCUCCACUGUCUGCACAGAAGUCACUGUGGCCCUAGGUGCCCCACAACCAUCACUGAGGCGGGAGAGGGCAGUGUCCAGCAGUUAGGGGUGCCAGGACGAGGGCCAGCAGUGCCUGGGGGCAGGCGGUACUGCUCUCAUUGAACCUAUGUCAUUUGAUCAUUGUUCUUUUUUUUUUUUUUUAAAUCUUUUAAUGUUUAUUUAUUUGGAGAGAGGGAGAGAGAGCUGGGAGGGGCAGAGAGAGAGGGAGAGAGAGAGAAUCCCAAGGAGUCCUCACUGUCAGCUCAGAGCCCGAUGUAGGGCUUGAACUCACAAACUGUGAGAUUGUGACCUGAGCUGAAAUCAAGAGUUGGAUGUUUAACCAACAGAGUCACCCACGUGCCCCCGUUCGAUCACUGUUGGAAAACAAUGUCCACUCACUGUAAAUCGCUAACAGAGGGUAUAUUUGGAGACAGGAACAGAGAACGUGACGUUCAACGAAAGCCAUUUGGGAGCAUCGCAUUUAAGAAGGAAUAGGAAACGGUUACCCCAGAAAGUAUAAACCAACAGAGACCACACGUAAUUUGGGAGAUUGGAGAGAGAGAGAGGGUGGCAGCAUUAUCUCUUUGUAUAAAAUCCAAAACUAACAGUUCAAGGUUGAUUUGCUUUCUGAUGUAAUAAAAUGUAGGUCUAAAGUCAGCUUGUUAUUCAAUAUGUCCUCUGUCCGUGAGCUCAAAGACAAGUCCAGGGAAAAGUUAUUGACCACAUACCCUGAGGCACAGCAGGAGGGUGCAGGGUAGGGGGUCUAACGGCCCCUGAGUGGCAGUGUAACCCACACGUGCCUGCAGGCCUCAGUUCUACCUCCUCUCCAAUGCUCUGAUGGUGUCACUAACGCCCCGGGGCCAGUUUCCCUGCUGGGGUGAGGAGAAUAGCCAUGAUGCCGAGGGGGUAGUUUUUGUGCCAUGAAAGGCAGUGGCAGGGUCUGGCUCUGUGCCACACACAGGAGAGGCGCACCGUAACGUCUCCAAAGAAGGUGUGUGGAUGGGGAGGGGGAAGGUGAUGGAGGCCAUGCUCCAGGAGUGGAGGAAAUGGCUCCACGCUGGAUCCAGCGCGUCAUUAUGUCAUUAGGAAGGGUCUUCCCAUGAACCGGGACCGUCUUCAACAAACGCUGGACCAGGGGUGGCCCAAGGUGCUUCCUUGCGUGCCCACACCCUACUAGAUUGCCAAGCCUCCCUGCAGCUCUGUGUUGGCAAAGAGUCUGAGCUGAGGGGUCCGUGGGGGUGUUGUGGAGGGAACAAGUCUGCACCCCCACCCUGCACUGGCUGGGCUCCUUCUGCAGCGGCUGGCCCCUGGCCAUCACUGGGUUCCCAGGGCCUCCAAAGUUCAUGUAUACAGUAGCCGCUUAAUAAAUGUGUAAUCAAUAAUGUUUUCCUCUCCAGUUUCCCUUUGACAAAGUCUGCAAUUAGCCCUCAUUGUUUUUACACCAAAUUAAGUCCGUGAAGUCUUCCACAAUCCAGCUCUUUCUCUCCCUCAACAUAAUUUUGCCCACUCCCUCUCUACACCAGACACCAGUGGGCUUUUCCCAGGCUUCACAAGAGCACAC